CCCAGCCUCGCGUGCGGCCUCUGCCGCAUCCUGUCCUGGGACCCGGCAGCCGCCCGAGGAAGGAAAAGCUGAGGCCAGGCUCUCCCCUCCCUUGACUGAUGGGCGAAAGGCCGGAGCUGGAGCUGCGCCAUGGCGGAGGCCCCUGCCGCCCACCCUUCACCGCAGCUGCCAGUAACCUAGCGAGCCGCCCGGCACGCAGCCGAGGCUCUGCAAGGGUUAACCACCGAGGCUGGCCGCCCGAGGGUGGGGUGGUGGUGUGCGCGGAGAAAUCGGGCUGUGUCCUGGGGUGUGGCCAGAAACAAAGGAUCCCUGGUCUUUAUGCUUUGUCUCGGCGGGGAGUUGUGGGCAUCGAGAUGGGGAGCUGCCACCUCCGCCACCCUCCCUGCUAGAUCCUCUUCAGAAGAUAGUGUUUUCACGAAGCACGCAUGACUGGAAGAUGUGCUGGGGAUCCAGGUCCUGCCCCUCAGGGUACCUGUGUCCUAGGUAGAAGCUGAACAGAUGGUCUUAGAGGUAGGUCUGUGGACAGAGUGCCCCGGAGUCUGUUCUGUGGUUUCAGUCUGUUCAGCUGUGACCC
This is a long non-coding RNA of Jaculus jaculus (lesser Egyptian jerboa), 574 nucleotides long. RefSeq lists it as uncharacterized. Lineage: Eukaryota; Metazoa; Chordata; Mammalia; Rodentia; Dipodidae. The transcript is spliced from 3 exons. The record is from RefSeq and is a predicted model, not a curated record.